AACGAACGCUGGCGGCAGGCUUAACACAUGCAAGUCGAGCGCCCCGCAAGGGGAGCGGCAGACGGGUGAGUAACGCGUGGGAAUCUACCCUUUUCUUCGGAAUAACGCAGGGAAACUUGUGCUAAUACCGUAUGAGCCCUUCGGGGGAAAGAUUUAUCGGGAAAGGAUGAGCCCGCGUUGGAUUAGCUAGUUGGUGGGGU
This 200-nucleotide ribosomal RNA is filed under the name uncultured bacterium. RNAcentral's name for it is "partial 16S ribosomal RNA". It matches the Rfam family "Bacterial small subunit ribosomal RNA", at positions 29 to 258 of the family's 1533-position model. The record is from RNAcentral.